Molecule: long non-coding RNA, 1620 nt
Organism: Nematostella vectensis (starlet sea anemone)
Lineage: Eukaryota; Metazoa; Cnidaria; Anthozoa; Actiniaria; Edwardsiidae
Exons: 4
Source: RefSeq, a predicted model, not a curated record
GUAGUUGAAAAACACCAUUUAAAAAAAGCGAAAACACCGGUUAAACAUAGCGAGAACACCUGGUAAACGCCUGUUAGCAGGCUUCUAGUUUUCAUCACACCUUUCUACGGUGGCCAAGAGUUCUCGUCGAUCCGCCAUUGCCAUGUGUGGCAGCAACAUUGCGAAGAGGACAGGUAUUUUGGAGCUAUUUCCUCGGUAACUAUUAGUAAUUUUCUCCGGAGAGCAUCCAAGACAUAUGUAAAGGAAGAUUGAGAUGGUUGCAACUUGAAUAUAACAGCUGGGCUUAGAGCAUGGGAGAAAGAAGAAAAUUCCUCAUGGUUAUGUUAGUCUGGUAUGUUUUGUAUUUAAUAAUAUAGUUAUUUGUUGUCAAACCUCCUUCUCUUUCUUACAUUUUAUUAGAACUCCUGUACUUGAGUGUCCCUCUUGCUGGCAGAAGGCAUACAGAUUGAAAGACUGUGCUUAUUCAAGAAAUUGUGGUUACAGAUGAGACAGCCUGUGGGAGUGUGCACUGGGACAAGAGGACAUAAAGCCCUAUCUUGGGUAAAUUAAUGUGAGGUGUUUCUCCAAAGAAACCAUGAUGAUUUCUUGGCAAGGUCCAAUGGGUAAUUUGGAAUGGGCUUCUUUAAAGUUUCAGUGGGAUGAUAGCACCCCGAGUCUUGCUGAGUGAAGAUCCAAAGGACCAUGUUAUCUAAAAUCUGGACACUUUUUGUUGAGAGUAUGUCUAUGAGUCAUUAUUCAUUUGAGAGGGCUGUGCCACAUGCCCCUUCUGUGUAAGGUUUUUCGUAAAUUUAUAUUAAAGUAUAAAUUGCAAGUAUUUAUAAACAAAGAAUUAAUCCUACAAUUUACAAGCAGUUGCUCUUAGAACCAACAAUUGAAAUUCUUGGUGAGGAAAUAAGCAAACCCCCACUAUACAUGAUAUAGUGCUUACCAACUCAUAAGAACCCCUAUUUUUGUUAUUAAGCCUGACCUGAAGGUGUUUUAUGCAGGUUUUUCAAAAAGGUUCGUAUUGAUAUUAUUCACUUGUGUAACAGGGUAUGUAUAUUAAUUGAAAGGUUAUUCCUCAUGUAAUGAAAAUCAACAAGGUGUUCCCAAAUUAUUAAUAGCUCAAGUAUAUAUUCAAGUAUUAUGAUUUGUUUGUGUGUUUUUCUAUUUUUUCAAGAUUUUUUUUUAGGUUUAGGGGUAGGGUUUUCUACAAGAACCUGGGUUGAAAUACAUAUUUUUAGGUAACAUGUUCUAACAUGUUCUUAAACUCUUGUAAUGUUGUUAAGUACUAUAUGUGUUAUUGAAAGUUGAAUGUGUUACCUGUAAAGCAUGGGUAUAAGGCAUAUGGCUGGUGUUAGAUUACGCGAUUUGUUGAAACAUUUUCAUGUAAAGGGGGUGUCAAAGAUACUGACAGAGGCUGUGGUGUUUAAUGUAUGUAUACUUAUUUAUUUUUAUUUAUUUAAGAUUUUUAAAUGUAUAUUUGAAUUUGAAAAUUAUAUUAUUUUGGGAAGACAUUGAGUGAUAUAAAUAGAUGUUGAGUCACUUUAACUGGCUAUACCAAAAUGGGAUGGUUCUUGAGAUCUUCUGUCAUUGAAAUGUUUGUUGUUUUCAAAUUCUAAAAGACAAGAGAAAACAGUU